AUUUACUGGGGGACAACAUUCCGAAAGGAAUGCUAAUACCGCAUACGUCCUACGGGAGAAAGCAGGGGAUCUUCGGACCUUGCGCUAAAUGAUGAGCCUAAGUCGGAUUAGCUAGUUGGUGGGGUAAAGGCCUACCAAGGCGACGAUCUGUAGCGGGUCUGAGAGGAUGAUCCGCCACACUGGGACUGAGACACGGCCCAGACUCCUACGGGAGGCAGCAGUGGGGAAUAUUGGACAAUGGGCGGAAGCCUGAUCCAGCCAUGCCGCGUGUGUGAAGAAGGCCUUAUGGUUGUAAAGCACUUUAAGCGAGGAGGAGGCUACUUAGAUUAAUACUCUAGGAUAGUGGACGUUACUCCCAGAAUAAGCACCGGCUAACUCUGUGCCAGCAGCCGCGGUAAU
RNAcentral lists this ribosomal RNA (399 nucleotides) under uncultured bacterium. Its description in RNAcentral is "bacterial SSU rRNA". It matches the Rfam family "Bacterial small subunit ribosomal RNA", at positions 131 to 524 of the family's 1533-position model. The record is from RNAcentral.